GGCAGCAUAGUCUAUGCACUGCACCUAAUGUGCCUUGAACGCACCUUGAUGGCCUGAUAGCCUAUCCGUGAGCAGGGGCCAGUAUUUAAGACGGCCCUCUCCCCUGCUCUUUCGCUUCCCAAUUCACUUCCGGUAGCAGGCCGGCUUCCUUUUUACCACAGCGUGCGUCCCGCUGUGUGUACUGCUCUGUCGCUCCUGUAUGCUCCUGUUUGGCAUGUUGUCAGAGGCCGGUGGUGGUGGUGGCGUCGGUGACUGGUGGUGGUGUCCCCCUCAUUUGAUGUGCUGUGCUCCCCGGUGGUGGUUCCUUCAAUGUGUGUGUGUGGGUGAUUUAUUUCUAUUUAUUUUGGGUGAACCGCUCCUGUUCACUAGUACCUGCCCACCUGGUAAGCCUCUGCUCCUGACUAGUUGCCCUUUUUUUGGUGUGAAUGAUUUUGAUUGUUAAUUAUUUUAACCAAUUGUAAUAAAAUAUAUUUUUAUACCUCGAA
This is a long non-coding RNA of Seriola aureovittata, 485 nucleotides long. RefSeq lists it as uncharacterized. NCBI's taxonomy places the organism in Eukaryota, Metazoa, Chordata, Actinopteri, Carangiformes, Carangidae. The record is from RefSeq and is a predicted model, not a curated record. The transcript is spliced from 2 exons.